Molecule: ribosomal RNA, 519 nt
Filed under: uncultured bacterium
Lineage: Bacteria
Description: partial 16S ribosomal RNA
Rfam family: Bacterial small subunit ribosomal RNA
Source: RNAcentral
GACGAACGCUGGCGGCGUGCCUAAUACAUGCAAGUCGAGCGAGUCUGCCUUGAAGAUCGGAGUGCUUGGACUCUGUGAAACAAGAUACAGGCUAGCGGCGGACGGGUGAGUAACACGUGGGUAACCUGCCCAAGAGAUCGGGAUAACACCUGGACACAGAUACUAAUACCGGAUAACAACAAAUGAUGCCUUUCAACUGUUUAAAAGAUGGUUCUGCUCUCACUCAUGGAUGGACCUGCGGUGCAUUAGCUAGUUGGUAGGGUAACGGCCUACCAAGGCAAGGAUGCAUAGCCGAGUUGAGAGGCUGAUCGGCCACAUUGGGACUGAGACACGGCCCAAACUCCUACGGGAGGCAGCAGUAGGGAAUCUUCCACAAUGGGCGCAAGUCUGAUGGAGCAACGCCGCGUGAGUGAAGAAGGGUUUCGGCUCGUAAAGCUCUGUUAUUGGUGAAGAAGGACAGUGUUAGUAACUGACCUUUGUUUGACGGUAAUCAAUGAGAAAGUCACGGCUAACUAAGUG